UUAGCCCUACGGGACGCAGCAGUGGGGAGUAUUGCACAAUGGGGGAAACCCUGAUGCAGCGACGCCGCGUGGGCGAGGAAGUACCUCGGUAUGUAAAGCCCUAUCAGCAGGGAAGAAACAGGACAGUACCUGACCAAGAAGCCCCGGCUAACUACGUGCCAGCAGCCGCGGUAAUACGUAGGGGGCAAGCGUUAUCCGGAUUCACUGGGCGUAAAGGGAGCGCAGGCGGCAUGGCAAGUCUGAUGUGACAACCCG
This 255-nucleotide ribosomal RNA is filed under the name uncultured bacterium. RNAcentral describes it as "partial 16S ribosomal RNA". It matches the Rfam family "Bacterial small subunit ribosomal RNA", at positions 333 to 604 of the family's 1533-position model. The record is from RNAcentral.